UACAGAGGGGGCAAGCGUUAUUCGGAAUUAUUGGGCGUAAAGGGCUCGUAGGCGGCCAACUAAGUCAGACGUGAAAUCCCUCAGCUUAACUGGGGAACUGCGUCUGAUACUGGAUGGCUUGGAUUCGGGAGAGGAAUGCGGAAUUCCAGGUGUAGCGGUGAAAUGCGUAGAUAUCUGGAGGAACACCGGUGGCGAAGGCGGCAUUCUGGACCGACAUUGACGCUGAGGAGCGAAAGCCAGGGGAGCAAACGGG
RNAcentral lists this ribosomal RNA (253 nucleotides) under uncultured bacterium. RNAcentral's name for it is "partial 16S ribosomal RNA". It matches the Rfam family "Bacterial small subunit ribosomal RNA", at positions 524 to 776 of the family's 1533-position model. The record is from RNAcentral.